UGAGGCAGGAGAAUUGCUUGAACCCAGGAGGUGGAGGUUGCAGUGAGCCAAGAUUGUGCCACUGCACUCCAGCCUGGGUGACAGAGCAAGACUCCAUCUC
Molecule: microRNA precursor, 100 nt
Filed under: Saimiri boliviensis boliviensis (Bolivian squirrel monkey)
Lineage: Eukaryota; Metazoa; Chordata; Mammalia; Primates; Cebidae
Description: miRNA (ENSSBOG00000005970.1)
Source: RNAcentral